GAGUGGCGGACGGGUGAGUAAUACUUAGGGAUCUGCCCUGGGGCGGGGGACAACCAUUGGAAACGAUGGCUAAUACCGCAUAACGUCUACGGACCAAAGAGGGCUUCGGCUCUCGCCCCGGGAUGAACCUAAGCGAGAUUAGCUUGUUGGUGAGGUAAAGGCUCACCAAGGCGACGAUCUCUAGCUGUUCUGAGAGGAAGAUCAGCCACACUGGGACUGAGAC
This 223-nucleotide ribosomal RNA is filed under the name Scyphosphaera apsteinii. Its description in RNAcentral is "partial Bacterial small subunit ribosomal RNA". It matches the Rfam family "Bacterial small subunit ribosomal RNA", at positions 93 to 325 of the family's 1533-position model. Lineage: Eukaryota; Haptophyta; Coccosphaerales; Pontosphaeraceae. The record is from RNAcentral.